CAUCUGCCUUUCACUCUGCCUCUCUUCGCCUGGUUUCCCGCCCUGCCCUUCCCUCUCAAUUGAAGCCACCAAUGGGAGUGCGUUUUGCAUCAACUUUGAUUGAUGAGAGUUUAGUGGUGUAGCUCUAUUGGAAUUCAAUUUAACGUCGUUGGUUUUUUAUCAUCUUCCAGGAUUUCGGCUCUUUUGACGACCUUUUGCUGGCGCAACCACCUGAUGUUCCAUGGCUUAGGUUGCGUGAUGCUGCUCCGGGGCUAAAAUUGCUUAUUGGAUGGAUUCUCUGUAAAAAUGUGGCUGCAAGAAAACUACCAUUGGCCUUCUUUUAGCUUUCUUGUGUUGGCUCUGAGAGUAAGAUUUUUUGAACAAGUUAAUAAUAAUUAAGGUGACCUUUAAUUUCCAUGUAAUAACAUAAUCGUUUUCAGUACCUGCUUCUGCUUUUGUUUGCCAUUAACUGCUUGAUUGGCUCUUCGGGCUUCCUAGAUUUCCAACUACAGUAUUGCUCAUUGCUUCCUGCAGAAUGUUUACCAACAAUAUUUAGAAUAAAAUCUAAUCUCCCCAGUUUAGUUGGGAAAAUGGAGAAUUUAUAUGCUUGCUACUACAAAACAAUGAUCAUGUCAAAUCUUGUGAUGGCAUUUGUUUAAUACUUCUUUCUUGGAAUUUCAUGUAACAGUCCCUUUUCUUCCUCAUUCUUUAAGAUUGUUGCCCGAGUUUAACUUUCAGUGGGCUCAUAAGCAAAGGAAUUGUGUCAGUACUAACCUGAGUUAUUGAAACUUGACUGAGGUUGGUGGGAGUUGCAGAAGGUUGGCUAAGGUUGGUGGGAGUUAUUGAGAUUUGGCUGAUGGGAAGAGUUAUUGAAGCUAGGCUGUGGUUGGGGGAGGGGCCGAAAGCUUUAGCUAAAAAAAGGUAGUUCAUCUUUUCUUCAGCAUAAUCUCUCAGUCUGUUGAGCUCUGGCAAGACUUCUGUGCCAAGAUCUGGCCUGUCUUUCCGUCUCAGUUCUGCACAUUGGAGUGCAAGCUUUGCAAACCAUAAAGUCUCUUCAAUUGGCCAAUCAGGCACAUCUGAGUCUAGAACUUCUUUGAGCGUCUCAUUUUCAAUUGCUUGUUCAACAAUGUGAGUCAAGCCCAUUGGUGGCUUGGCUGUUAUGACUUGCAGAAGCAAGAUCCCUAAGGAAUAUACAUCAGAUUUCACACCAAGCAUUCCAGUUUGUUGAUACUCUGGAUCAAUAUAGCAGAAAGUUCCAGCAGCUGAUGUCAUGUGGUAUUGUGUUACAUUCUCAGAAGUAGUAGGAACAAGCCUGGCCAACCAACAUCACUAAUCUUACUGGUGUAAUUGUUGUCUAGCAAAAUGUUUCCUGGCUUGAGGUCACGGUGAACCACUGGCUCUGGCUUGGUCUGAUGGAGAAAGAGCAGACCUGUGGCUAUCUCAGCUGCAAUUCGGAACCUGAUUUGCCAAGAAAGAGCUGCUGUAUUCCCUCUCUUGAAGAGACAGUCUUCUAAGCUUCCUUUUGCCAUGUAUUCAUAGACUAGAAUACCAUACUCUGGGCAGGCUCCUAGAAGCAGUACCAUGUUUGGAUGCCGUAUUAAGCUAAGCACUUCAACCUGCAAGGACGUAAAACCUUGACUGCAACUGGUGUCUGAUCAAGAUAACAGUUGUAAACUGGGCCAUAACCUCCUUCCCCAAUCUUCUUUGAUUCCGAAAACUUCUUUGAGGGUUUUCUCUAUGUUGAGUCUCCUUUGCGCUUCUAUUGCAGCUCUCUUCUCAGCUUCUUCAGCAGCGUCUAUGGCUUCUCUGCACCUGGCUUUCUCUUGCUCUAUAAUCGACAGUGCAGCUUCUUCAGAAAACCUAGACUCUUCCAAUCUUCGUUCUUCUUCUAUUCUCCAGCGAUUCAGCUCUGUUGCCUAUAUACAUACCAUUUUAGAACCUACUGGGAAUCUUACUAGUGCACGUAGAAAAAAUGAAUUCUCUGUACCUUCCGUUUUGCUGUAAGUGCUUCUCUACAUGCUGCGUUGUACAAGUCCAUUGUUUGCUUCAACUCUAGUUUUAGCCUCCUCAUCUCAGACUCCAUGUCAUCCUAUAUGUUUCAAUUACAGAUUAGGAGAAAGCAUUGAAUCAUGCAUCUGUGCUUUAUUAUCACACUUUGCGCAGUCUUAUUGACUUUAAAGUUAAAACAACAAAUGAAAGGCUAAAGAAAUCAAAAUAUAAAAUUGCUUUUUCCAAUCAUGGAAAGAUCGAUGUAAGAUUAUGCUACAAGCCAUCAUAGGAUGUUACUCUAUCUAAAUUGACCGAAUAAUCUUAGCUAUUUUGCGGAAUUCAGUGUAUAACCCAAGAGAAAAACGAAGAAAAACUUAAAUUGCUUGUUCUUGACAAUAUUCACAGUGUAGCCUGAAUCAAACAACUUGAGGAUAUGAUCUAACUAGAUUAAUUUUCCUGUUAAUAGGAAAAAAAUGGUUAAAAUAAUAACUCUAUUAUUAAACAUCCUUUAUUUCCUUAAGUGUUUACAGUGUUUGAUGGUUAGUCGAGCUUAUUUACCUAAUCAUGCUAUUGUCAAAACGGUUAAUUGCUUACCAGGCUGUGUGUUGAACCAGUAAAAGAUGUUCUGCCGCUAUCUUGUGAAAUUGAUGAAAAUCCCUGAUGGUAAUUGGGGCUAAAGAACUUUGGUCCUGAUUGUAUAGAUGCAAAGCUAGUGUCUGAGCUAGUUGAAAACCGAGGGGUUGCUCCAGAAUCCAUGAAAUCAUAGGUUACAGAAGACAUGCGGUCAGUGCUUGGCCUGCUGGAGCUGACAAAUGAUAUGUCAGUUUCUGACAUGAGAUCUGCAAAUGAUUUUACACUAUGACCCUGUCCUCCUCUUCCUAAUGGUGACCUGUUGUAUUAUGUUCAGCCUUUGAACAAAUUAAAUCAUAGCCAAGCUUUAGCAAUAAAAAAAAGAGAAUAUAUUACAAAGACAUCCCAGACUAUCACUCCAUAAAUAUUUACUGAUUAUAUAUGCACGUUAUAUUAUAUCAUGUUCACUGCCAUCCCCUCUCAUCUUCUAAAAUGAUUUGAUGCAUUCCUCACUUACCUGAAGGUUUCACCAACUGAGAUACGAGGCUUGACUGGCAUCGUUCUCUCUGUCAGCAGAAGACCAUAAAUUGGAUUUUGGAUUAGGAUUAAGACAAAAUAAAAUGGAAAAAGGACCAUAUGAUUGGGAGAAUAAACCUUUUAUGCUCCAAACAUGUUUGUAUAGUGCUUCAGAAGAAUCUACCCUUGGACUAUUUUGGUUCUGUUGGUUUUGUAUUUGAUGUAGAAGUGGGGAGGCGAAUGGGGCAGGACGAGAAGCAUUUCUCAUUGUAGAGACCUUUCCUUUUGAUACAACAUACACAGUACAGAAAUCAGAUAUUGCCAAUCAAAGUUCAGAGUUGAGGAGAAUAUAUAAAAUUCUGCUAGUAUUCUGAAAGUUGACCUAUGUGAAAACAAAGUGCUUUUCAUCUGAAAUAGCACCAAAACUGAUGCUGUUUUGAAUGCUUUUCAAAGUUUUUGCUGUGAGGGUCUCGAAACCAUAAAAGAGGACCUCAAACAGCAUCAAUCCAAAAGCAUUUUGAAACACACCCGAACCACAAUACCAAAAGGUAGAGUUGCCAAGUCAGGAGGGGGCUAGGGACGGCAAAAAUACCUCAUAAAUCCACUCCGUGAUGGGGUUCCGAGAACCAAAGUCUCGAUUGCUGCAUGGGAAACAUAUUCUGUUAUUGCUUUUGCUAUAUCUGUGCUUUCAACUGCAACAUCAAGGCAAUGUACCUGUAUGUUGGAAUGGAAAGGAGAAACAAGACAUUUUGCACGCCUAAAGGUGCAUAUUUAUAUCGUGGAAAGGAGGAAUAACAAUGACAGGCUCAGAAACGUACAUCUUUGCGAGUACAAUAGCAUCGAAAUGUAAGGAAGAGAUCCUUUGCCAUCUUCUCAAGCUGCUGCUUCCCUGGUGAAGAAUAAUCACCAGGCGAUCCAUGGCCUGGUCGUGAAACAAUGCAAACAUGUGGAAGAGAAAGAAGAUUAGAACAUGAAACCUAGAACUUGAAAAACCACUUGAGAGAUCAAAGGAGCUGUAAGGCAUUGAAUGUAAGCUGAGCAACCCCCUUUCAACAUCAUAAUCUGUCAUUAUUCUAAAUAACGAAUCAGAUAGAGAAUUAUAAAUUACUUGUAACAAAUGAUGAUGAUGAUUUAUAAAAAACAUGGAUUAGAAUAAGAUUUUGGCCCUUGGAGAGAAGAUUUUCCACAGUCCAUUUCAAUGCGUUUUGGCUCCCCUUGUCUUUAUCUACAGCAACUGCCACCAGCCCAUUUCCUUCUCCUCCCUUCUUGGUACCGUGUCCCUUCGAGAGCCACAUUUGCUGUCUUGUAUCUUCUCAACACAGAAAAGAAUUCAAAGGACGGGAAUCCGCAAAAGUGGUCAAGAAUUCAAAGGCCUGUAAUUGUCAUCAAGAGAAGACCGCCUAAGAGGCCUUGAAACCUCUCUUCUAUCACCCUGGAUGUGCUCUGAUGCUUUCUGGUCAAAGAGGAGUUUUAAGUGCUUUCUGAAGGGAAAUGGCAAUUGGAUGCAAGCCUCAGUGUGUUUCCAGCAGAAAUGACACCCCUCAUUUUCUCAGUCCCUGUUUAGAAGCUUGCCUAUAUUUAGAGAUCGAGGGCCAUUGAUGAAGCUGUGCCGUUUCAAUGGACACACGAUGUUACUAAAUAAAGGAUGGUCUUCGGUGUACUUUGUUCACUGAUGGACUCUAUACCAUUGUUUACAUGAUUAUUGAAUUAUAUUCAAGUUUUUAUAAGAGAUUCCUAGGCCAGUUCUAUUGAGAACCAUCAUCUGCUACAUGAAAAUUCUAAAAUUCGGCUCGAAAUUUCAUGUUU
Populus trichocarpa (black cottonwood) is the source of this 4860-nucleotide long non-coding RNA. RefSeq lists it as uncharacterized. NCBI's taxonomy places the organism in Eukaryota, Viridiplantae, Streptophyta, Magnoliopsida, Malpighiales, Salicaceae. The transcript has 9 exons. The record is from RefSeq and is a predicted model, not a curated record.